CCUACGGGGGGCAGCAGUGAGGAAUAUUGGUCAAUGGGCGCGAGCCUGAACCAGCCAAGUAGCGUGAAGGAGGAAGGCCCUGCGGGUUGUAAACUUCUUUUAUAAAGGAAUAAAGUGAGGCACGUGUGCCUUGUUGUAUGUACUUUAUGAAAAAGCAUCGGCUAACUCCGUGCCAGCAGCCGCGGUAAUACGGAGGAUGCGAGCGUUAUCCGGAUUUAUUGGGGUUAAAGGGAGCGUAGGUGGGUUGUUAAGUCAGGUGUUAAAGUCUGCGGCUCAACCGUCAAAUUGCCAUUGAUACUGGCAGUCUUGAGUUGGGUUGAGGUAUGCGGAAUUCGUGGUGUAGCGGUGAAAUGCAUAGAUAUCACGAAGAACUCCGAUUGCGAAGGCAGCUUACCAGCUUCCCACUGACGUUGAUGCUCGAAAGUGUGGGUAUCGAACAGGAUUAGAUACCCGUGUAGUC
Molecule: ribosomal RNA, 460 nt
Filed under: uncultured bacterium
Lineage: Bacteria
Description: partial 16S ribosomal RNA
Rfam family: Bacterial small subunit ribosomal RNA
Source: RNAcentral